Molecule: long non-coding RNA, 363 nt
Filed under: Vigna radiata
Lineage: Eukaryota; Viridiplantae; Streptophyta; Magnoliopsida; Fabales; Fabaceae
Description: long non-coding RNA (VRAD_LNC014500)
Source: RNAcentral
AGGAAUUCUACAAAUAAGACCCAGUUAUGUGUCAGAGGGGUAUCGAGUGUUUUGUUGCGUAAAAUCAAGCUUAUUGGUUGUAGAGAGGGGUUAUGCCCUCAGCCACGGAGGUUAUGCUCCCAACCCAGUCAUUGUAAAAUAGCUUUCUUUUACUUUGAAUAAUAUAGAAGACCCAUUCUUUCUUUCUGUUUCUAUCUUUUGAGUGGGUUCUCAUCACUGCUAAAAAUAAUUGUUGUACUUCCCAUAAUUGACCCAAAAUGGAUGGUUUUAAAAGUGAUUUUAUGUACAAGUGAUUCUGACACUUUACUAACCAUUUGAACAGUUUUAAAUCAUCAAAAUACACUUGUUUAAACUUAAUUUUGG